UACGAAGGGGGCGAGCGUUGUUCGGAAUCACUGGGCGUAAAGGGCGCGUAGGCGGCCCUUCUUGUCGCGUGUGAAAGCCCCGGGCUCAACCUGGGAAUGGCGCGCGAGACGGGGGGGCUGGAGUUCGGGAGAGGAGCGUGGAAUUCCCAGUGUAGAGGUGAAAUGCGUAGAUAUCGGGAGGAACACCAGUGGCGAAGGCGACUUCCUGGCCUGUUCUUGACGCUGAGGCGCGAAAGCUAGGGUAGCAAACGGG
RNAcentral lists this ribosomal RNA (253 nucleotides) under uncultured bacterium. RNAcentral's name for it is "partial 16S ribosomal RNA". It matches the Rfam family "Bacterial small subunit ribosomal RNA", at positions 524 to 776 of the family's 1533-position model. The record is from RNAcentral.